UAUAUAUAUAUUCAUACAUACAAUUUUUUUCCUGUGUGUGUAUGUAUGUAUAUAUAUAUAUAUAUAUAUAUAUAUAUAUAUAUAUAUACAUACAUACAUACACAGGAAAAAAAUUGUAUGUAUGAAUAUAUACAUA
Non-coding RNA from Pelobates cultripes (western spadefoot toad), 136 nucleotides. The record is from the annotation of a GenBank genome assembly. Lineage: Eukaryota; Metazoa; Chordata; Amphibia; Anura; Pelobatidae.